Molecule: ribosomal RNA, 475 nt
Filed under: uncultured organism
Description: partial 16S ribosomal RNA
Rfam family: Bacterial small subunit ribosomal RNA
Source: RNAcentral
ACACUCCUACGGGAGGCAGCAGUGGGGAAUUUUGGACAAUGGGCGAAAGCCUGAUCCAGCAAUGCCGCGUGAGUGAAGAAGGCCUUCGGGUUGUAAAGCUCUUUUGUCAGGGAAGAAACGGUGAGAGCUAAUAUCUCUUGCUAAUGACGGUACCUGAAGAAUAAGCACCGGCUAACUACGUGCCAGCAGCCGCGGUAAUACGUAGGGUGCAAGCGUUAAUCGGAAUUACUGGGCGUAAAGCGUGCGCAGGCGGUUUUGUAAGUCUGAUGUGAAAUCCCCGGGCUCAACCUGGGAAUUGCAUUGGAGACUGCAAGGCUAGAAUCUGGCAGAGGGGGGUAGAAUUCCACGUGUAGCAGUGAAAUGCGUAGAUAUGUGGAGGAACACCGAUGGCGAAGGCAGCCCCCUGGGUCAAGAUUGACGCUCAUGCACGAAAGCGUGGGGAGCAAACAGGAUUAGAUACCCUGGUAGUCCCAUG